Molecule: ribosomal RNA, 397 nt
Filed under: uncultured bacterium
Lineage: Bacteria
Description: partial 16S ribosomal RNA
Rfam family: Bacterial small subunit ribosomal RNA
Source: RNAcentral
AUACGUAGGUGACAAGCGUUAUCCGGAUUUACUGGGCGUAAAGGGCGUGUAGGCGGUCUUGCAAGUCAGAAGUGAAAUUCCUGAGCUCAACUCGGGCGCUGCUUCUGAAACUGCAGGACUUGAGUGCUGGAGGGGAUAGCGGAAUUCCUAGUGGAGCGGUAAAAUGCGCAGAUAUUAGGAAGAACACCGGUGGCGAAGGCGGCUAUCUGGACAGUAACUGACGCUGAGGCGCGAAAGCGUGGGGAGCAAACAGGAUUAGAUACCCUGGUAGUCCACGCCGUAAACGAUGAGUACUAGGUGUAGGGGGUAUCGACUCCCUCUGUGCCGCAGUUAACACAAUAAGUAUUCCGCCUGGGGAGUACGUACGCAAGUAUGAAACUCAAAGGAAUUGACGGGG